This 587-nucleotide long non-coding RNA is filed under the name Taeniopygia guttata (zebra finch). Its description in RNAcentral is "lncRNA (ENSTGUG00000025153.1)". Lineage: Eukaryota; Metazoa; Chordata; Aves; Passeriformes; Estrildidae. The record is from RNAcentral.
CCUCCCUGCUGUCACUCAGAUCAAGUUCCACUUGGACAGCUGAAUCCAGAAAGACACGCAGGUACCCUCAGAGCAAUGGGAGCAAAUGUUAUUAGCUGGGACAGACUGAAUUUGAGAAGAGUUAACUGUGGGUCAGAAUGCCCCUGCAGUGCCUGAGUCCAGGACAAGGACAGUCAGCCUGAGAUUACAGUAUGGAAAAGCAAGGAAGAGAAACUGAUGAGUCCGGAGAAGGAGGAGGAGCAACUUCCUCCUUACCACCUCUCUGACUCUUCAUUUCACUGUGCUAUGAAUCUCAUGAAAUCAUGAAAUUACAUCAGCCAGGUGCCUCAGUGAAAGGACUGGAGAUACUGGGCCUGGUCUGCAAGGGAAAUGGAGAUGUGACUAAGGUGGAGAGAGGUGUGAUCCUCCCUGACCUCUGCACCUCCCACAGAUCUGCUCUUGCCUUGUGCAGAUGUUGCUUAAUUUGUGGCACUGACACUUUUAAGGAACCUCACCAGCAGUCCGUGUAUAUUGAGGAGAAGGCGCUACAGAUCUGGACACCAUUGGACUAUGAUAACCCCCAAGUACUGGGAGAUACGAGCUUCUAA